This is a non-coding RNA of Equus caballus (horse), 10559 nucleotides long. Lineage: Eukaryota; Metazoa; Chordata; Mammalia; Perissodactyla; Equidae. The record is from RefSeq and is a predicted model, not a curated record.
AAUAACACUAUAAUAGGAAAUAUUCUAAAUUAUAUGAAGAAAUUCUACUACUUUAUUAAGCAAAAAAACAAGGAAAUCAAAACAUGAACUCUCUGGCAUUCCUUCUGGGAGUCACUUGGUCAACAAAUGUCUAAAAUUUUUUAAAUAUUCUUGUUCAAGAUGUUGCCCUGGGAUCAUAUACUGGACUCUUUUUUGUCUCCUAAAGUUUAAUUUUAAUACCAAGCAUCCAUUUAAAAGGCAAUUUAAUUAAGUCAUAUAAAGAAACAUUAUUAUCUGUGGUGUGGUUGUGGGGAAGAUGACUGCAGGGCCCAUCAUUGAUGAAAAUUUCAAGCUAUUAAAAAGCAAGGGGUAGAAGGUAACUCCCAGGCGUAUGAGAGGAUGAAGAUAAACUCUCAAAUAACUUCUAGAGGUAUGGCCGAGGUGAGAAGUGUACCAAAAGCAGAAUUGGAGGCUAGGCUGUCAAAAUUAAGUGUUUGCUGGAUAUGUAUCUUUUCACUAGCUGUAUCCAUCAUCACCAUCCCACCAUCCCCACCCAAAUUCAGGUUGUCAUCAAAUAGAAAGGUGGGGGUUGAAGAGCUGCACCAACCUGACAUUUAUUCCCAAGUAUGUAUAAACAAAUAAAUAUACAUAAAUACAUAAAUUCGUAACAACAUAAAUACAUAAAGAGGAAAACAGCAUUUUCUUUUUAAAUAAAAGGUCUAGAGAACUGGAGAUACUUUUGUGCAUAUUGGAGCAGAUAAAUAAGGCAAGUGCAGAAAAAGGAGGGGAAACAUUUCUUUGAGUGCAAAUAUUGUAGAGAAGGAGUGGGACCUGGGGAAAAAGCUUAGCAUUGUGUUCUGUGGCAAAAAGCAUGGUUCAUGGGAAGUAGCACGUGAAUCAUGAAAGGACAAUAAGAUAUGGAAAUGAAUCAAGAUGUGCUCUGGAUCAGGGUUGCUGAAGUCUGGUCAAAAAAACGAAGUAAUAUCUCAGUAGCAACACUGAAUAGGGAUACUGAAUAAUGAGAAAAUAUUGGAACAAGUUACUGGUUUUCACAGGAUAUUUUAGGAAAGCUCUUGACCAGGGCGUCAAAAUAAACACACGACUAAUGCUAGCUUCUUUUCACUAGCAUUUGGAAUGGAGGAAUGAGGAAAUGAGAGAUGAAUUUCAACAGGGUCUGAAAUAGAUAAUUCUAUGUAAUAUCAAGAUCCAGUUUUGACAAGAUUUUUUGUGGAUAUGUUGAGGAGUCGGGAAAGUAGAAAUAAAGGACAUCCGGAAGACCCAAACGGCAGCAUCCAGAAAAUCUUUUGUGAUUGAUAAUUGAACUGUGAAAUCAAGAGCAUUGGGUACUAUCUGGGACAUGAUCCUGGGAACAGUUAACCAUUGGGUUGCUAGUCAAUUCAUCCUCCCAUUUUCUAAGAAGAAAUAGUUAUUUAUUUCUACAUAGAAGAAAUUGUUGGAGCCACACUGGAGCCACACAGGGUGGCAGCAGUAAGCAGUAAUUUGGUGAAAAGACAAUUUUGUGGAAGAGAUUGUCCCUCUUUCACAUAUUUCAAAAUCUAAUAUUCUCACAGUCAGAAAAAUAUUCUUGAUAUCUAUCCUUCAUAUCUUUCUGCCGAAAUGAUAUUAACCGUUCACCAUUCUGUAAAUUUUAGCUGAGAACCCAUCUCAUAUGCACAUACAUAUACAAUCUGGCUGGGGAUACUGAAUUCACAAAAAGUUUGUUGAGUGCUUCCUAUCUGUGCAGAAUUCUUCUGAUGCUGGAAAUAUAAAGAUAUAUAUGAUUUAGACUCUACUUUUAAGAAAACUAGAACCCUCGGUAAAGAGAGACAAAUAAAAUUAAUAUAAAAUAGCAUGACAAGAUGUACAAUAGACGCAUCUAUAAAAAACAAUCAAAACCAAUUGGUGACAUUAAUUUUCAAGAUGAAAUGAAAUGGUUAAAUUUAAGUAAAAUCUUGUAAUUUACAGCACAAAGGAAGUAUUUGUAUAGAUGUGAGUUCUAGAGGAAGUGAGACUUAGAACAUAGAGGAACAGGUUAUGUUUCAGUCCCCAGAGACUAUCUGGGGACCAGGAACCACAGUGAAAAACACGCGUGCAGGGGAGGGGGUGGUGGGUAGUGAGGAGUUUUGUUUUACAGGAAUUGAAAUUCCUCCUUAAGUCAUGCUGGGAGAUCAGAGUAGAUGUGCAGAGUCGAACUAUGCUAGGAAAGGUACUGAAAAAUUGGCAAAGAAGUUAUAUCUUUUAGAAAGAUGGGAAUUGGAGCAGAAAAAAUAUUAACUAGGAAGAUCUUUAGCAAUAUAAGGUUAGUUGUGGGAGAUUGGGCAUAGAGAUUACUGUGAUAACAAUCAGCAUAGACCUAUAGAAAUGGACUAUAGGAAUACUGUGCAUUUUUGGCAUGGCCAGACAUGCAUUAAAUACUGGUAUUUGCUGAAUAAGGAAGGAACAUGAGGUCUUUCAAAGGUAAUAUAUUUUCUUUCCUUUUGGAGAUAACACCCAAAGGAUCAGUUCUCAUAUUGGUACAGGUGUUGGCCUCUGAAUGAGACACUUUGGAGAAGACAGAGAGAUUUGUUGGAAAUCCCCAUCCUUUCUCAGAUGACUGGUUUUUGUCUUUUUGGUUUUUUUUGAUAACCAAUGGGGAUAAAGAGUGAGGCAGCAUCACUUAUCUCUAGCAGAUACAUCUGACAAGAAGUCUUAUUUAAGGUCUUGGGUAGGAGUCGGGGGAGGACAAGAUGACAAAGUUAGAUGUGAUAAGAAAGGUGGAAAAUUUCCUUUAGUGGAAUGAAUUAGGGCAUGAUUAGGUGGUUAGCCAGGAAAGAGCGUUUGCAGAGUAAAGUAAAAUGUGGAGUGAGGAUUGGAGGAGCUGGGCAUUUAGAAUGAUAGAGACAUGAUGCCUAGUUUUUCAUGCCUUUGUGGGAAUCCCCAGGCCAUGAUUAAAAAGUACAAAUAAAAAGCUGUGAUGCUGGUAUCUCCCUGCUAUUCCUGUCAUAGAAGAGAUGGGGGCUCUGAGAGAGAUCUACUAUCCCAACUCUGACUGCACAGACAAAGGAAGGGGGAAUCCGAUAACAAAUUAUCACUUAUUUUCUACCAGGCAUGAGUUAUGUACUUUCAGAUACUUUAUUUCAUUAAUUUUCAUCAUAACCUUUGCAACGGCUAAAUUGUAUCACACUAUAUUUUCAGUUAACUGUGGCAUCCCCAGCCGGUUGAAGAAUGCUGAUCACUUAGUAUAACUCAGUAAACAUUGACUACUAGGAUCUGAUCUGGAAAUUAAAUAUUUUACACUUUUAACAUUUUAUAGUGAAAUAGAAUACACAUAUAAAAAUCACAUAAAGCAUAAUUCUACAACUUAUUAGAUUAUUUUAAUGCCAACAUCCACAGAACUAACUCUGAGAUCAAGAAACAGAAUAUUUGGCCAAUACCUUGUAAACCCAUAAUGUGCCUCUUCCUAUCCACACUUGUCUCACUUCCCACCAAGAUAACUUGCCAUCCAGACUUGCUGUUCACUGCACUUUCCCAACCUGAUAUUUCUUUCUAAACAUGUCUAGUGGCAUUAGAGAAAUUGAAGCAGACAGUAUUCUCGCUUUUGUGCCUUACUUGUUUUCAACUGAGCAGCCAGGAAAGGAUGGUCUUGUCAAUAAAUGCAGCUCUAUAAGUUGGAUGUCCUUAUUGAAAAAAGAAAUCUGACACCCAUCUCACACAAUACACAAAAUUAAUUCCAGUUGAAUUUAUUUCAACAUGUAAAAAACAAUGCAAUAAAACCUUCAGAAGAUAAUAGUAGCGAAACUUCAUGACCAUGAGGUAGAAAAAGAUUUUUAAAAUAGGAUACAAAGUUCACUAGUCACAAAAAAAAGAUUAACUGGUAGUCACAAGUAUAACGCUUAAAUAGGGACAGUAAGAAAUUAUUGGGCACAACUGAUGAGUGUCAUAGAUGUACUAGGAAAACUCCUAAAAAAGGCCUUCAACGAGCAUAUUACACAUGCUAGAAGCUGCUCACGAGGUUGGCUCCAGUGUUUGUGGUCAGGAAAAAGAGAAAUAAUAAUGACAGAGGAGCACAUACACCCUCAGAACUUUGGAAGUAACUGAAGGGAAAGGGACAGUUAAAUCUGGGAAACAAGGUGACCUUUAGGAAGGUGAUGAACGGAAGUGUGCAGACGCAGAGGGGAGGGGAGAGUGGCACAGCAGAGAUUACCUCCCUAAUCAUCACUUCCAAAGUCAGAAAAGCAAUCUUUUCCCUAGCAUCCAUCUUAAUUUUCUCUGCAUGAAAUAAUAUCAAUGAAACAGAAAAUUUUACCUAAUCACCUAAAAAUGUCAAGCAUUAUGUUAAGUGGUAUGUGGACUAUAGAAGCAUGGAGUAUAACUGUGAAACUCAAGGAGCAAACACUUAUUGAGCACUUCCUAUGUGGAAAAGGGUGUGCUAGGGGCUAGGAAUACCAAGACAAAGAUCUCAGGAAGAUCAAUAUCUACCAGGAAAGAAACAUCCAUAAAGCAUAUAACAGAAGAGACUUUAUGUUCUUAGUGCACCAUUCUCUCCUCAGUCCCUAGAGAAACACCUGGUUCAGAGUAGGUAAUCAUUAAUAGUUGUUGAAUUGAUAAACAAUAUAUUAAGGAUAAAUAUAGGCAUUAUAAAUUACAAUGAAAAUACAAAUGGGUAUCAUUUAAAAGUAACAAGAUUUAAAAAUAGUAGAAAAUGGGCAUAUCCUAUAGGUUGGAGUAUUUAAAUGAAAUGUGAAAAUGUAGUUCUUUUGCAGAAGUGAGACUUGAAGCAGAGGAGGAAGAGGAUAUGAUUCAGAAGAACAGCAGGGGAAAGGAACAAUCACGAGCCAUGUGACCGAGAGCAGUACUGAGGAGGGGUUGGACGUAGUGCGGGGCAGGAGUGUAUUAGUUUGAGAAGCCCUGAUUGACUGGAAUGAGCAUCCAGAUUAAAGAACAGUGUGGCAUAAGAGUAGGUAUGCAGAGAGGACCUGUUGUAUGAAAGGCCUGGGAAGCUGGGCAGACCAGUUCCUUCUUUAGGAAGGUGAGGAGCUGAAAUGUACAAAUGUAGAGUGGCAAAAUGAACUGUGGUAACCCAGGUGCCAUAUAGGUAGAGCAUCAAGACGAGGGAGGUGACAGUGAGACUAGAGGGCUGAUAUUAUGGAAUACUUUGUGUCAUCACAAACUUGAGUAAGGGACUACUAUUGGAUAAACAGGGAAAGAAAAUGUAGAGCUUUUAGGAACUGUCUCUUUUCUUCUUUCAGGUACAGCAUCCAAAGAGUCAGUCCUCCAAACUCCAAGGUUACUUUUCUAUCCUGUGCCUUAGACUCUUUCUUUUAGGAUAAAGCAGGCCAAUUUGCUGGACAAAGGCAGCAUCUACAGGCUCAGCCCUCAAAUCCAAAAUCUACCUCAUCGGUUAAUUCAGGUUCGGGUUAAUUCCUUUUUUGGGAAGGCAUCUCAUCUUUUUGCCCUGAGGCAUUUAAGCAAGAAAAGCAUUCCUGGAAAUCCCCAUCCCUUCCUCCACCUUUCUCUUCAACCAAUAGGGAUGGAAAGUGAAGCAGCAUCACUUGUCUCCAGUAGAUGUAUCUACUAAGAAGGUCUGAUCUGACCCCAAGUCUUGGGGGGAAGGUGGAGACGGGGCAGGGUGACUGAUAAUGUGGUGAGAGGAACAGCUGACAGCCUAGUUUCUUGGAAAGAAAUAAUAUACCACGUGGAGACCCAAGAAACUACAUUUUCUAGUUGUGAUAAAGAGUGGAGAUUGAGGAUCUAAGCAUUUUGUGUUGGCUUGGAGAGGGAAGGGUACCUGAUGUUUUCCGUGCAUCUGUGGGAAGUCCCUGCUCAGUUUGAAAAAGAGAAGGAAAUGGCUAUGACGCUGAACUCUCCCUGCUGGUGAUGAAUGAGUACCUGUGGUGGGCGAGAUGGAAAUCGUGAAAAAGUCCAUAAUCCCACCUGCUCUUUGUCAUAGGACAGUUUGAGGGAAAGUCAAAAUAUCCCGUUCUUAUUUUGCCCUAGUGGAACAGCACUUCCAGAUGUGUUAUCUCUCUAUUAACCAUCACAACAGACUUGCAUUUUUGUUAACUGCUGAAUCUUCAGCACCUAGAAUAAUUCUUAGUACUCAAUAACAUCUGGUUAAUUAUUAAUGAAUGAGCAGGAUACUAAGAGAAUCUGGAAUAAAAGUUGAGUGAACCUUCAUUCUAUGAAUUUCACACACCUCAACUUACUAUUUCCUUUUCCAAUAUCCCUCUAAUAUAAAGCAAUAUCUCACUUACUCAGAGUUACUCUGAAGCUCAGUUAGAAUAUACACUGUAGCAUGAAAAAAGCGCUGUGUUCACUGCCAUGAGAUCAGAAUUCUGCACCUGAUCUAUACCUUGGUCCAAUGAUUUACUCUUUUGAGCUUCUAUUUCUUCAUCACUAAAAUUAAAGGGUUGAAUUAUAUUAUUUCCCAUGUCAAUACCUAACUGGAUCCUGGAACAUGAUAAAUAUUAACAACAUUUAAUUUUUUAUCCCACUGUCAUUGAUCAUUUCAGUAACUAAAAUAAUUACAGAAAGGAGAAAGGGAAUGGCCCAAAACCUGACUUCCACAAAAAAUAAGGGUACAUUUUUUGAUUAAUUCAGAGGAAAAUAAUUCCCCAACAUGGCCAAACAAUAUUAACUAAUAAAAAUAUUAGCCCAUUUGUGGAUCUUUUUCAAGCCUUCCUUAGAGGUAAGAGAAGCACACUAUUUGCUGAAACUCUUCUGAGGAGAGCUGUGCUCACUAUAAUUUGGGCGUUAGCCAGUACAUUGCUGUGCUCCUUGCCACCUGACGUAGAAUUACUGAAUGGGAUCUUCAAUCUUUGGGUGAAAAAUAUGUCUCCCAAAUUAAAAAAAAAAUCAUUAUACCUUAAUUUUUGUCAUUAUGUAUUCACUAACUUUCCAGUCCAUUCCAUGAUUAACUGACUAUGGAGUUAGAAAUAUUAGUUACCCUCUUGGCAACAUCAUGUCAAUACUUCUCUGUAAACCUGGCAUAGGUUGUUUUUCUGAGACAAACGGGCAACCUCAUACUAGUCUAGGCACACCAAUUCCUAGGCAAUGAUGAAAAAGUGUAAAUCCUUGGUUUGUAUAUGAGCCAGCAGAUUGUAUGUUAUGCAGACAGGAAUAUCCUUAAGUAGGACUUCCUGACGUAAGCUAUAGAUAUCCCUAGCAUAUAGAAAUACCUGUCAAGGAAGGAUAGAAAUGACUAAGUGAUCUGCCAUCUUCAGUAUUGGAAAGAAAACAUCAAUAGUCAUAAUAGAGUUCUACUUUGGGUCUAAAAGUUGGCCCAGAAUGAAACCUCCACAUACGUGCAAAGAAUGUACGGAACUGGUCAAUGCUUUCUUUAAUAAUCUACCAUGUACAACAGAGUAUAUUGACCACAACACUGAGUCACUGUUGCUGAUUCUGAUCCACCUCUCAGUGAGGUUGCUGGAUGCUAGAAGAGUUCCAGGACUUCCAAAGCCCAAGUCCAUACAAGUACGGAGAUUGACUUCCAGUAUGACAGUGUGAGGAACUCUGCUGACCUAUCCUCCAGAGAAACCGAUGAAAAUUGAAAAUAUAUGAUAAAAAAUAUAUACAUUAUAUAUAUGUGUAUAAAGAACCAUUUAAAGCCUCUGGGUCAGAGGCUACAAGCAUACAGCAAAUGAUGAAACAUCUAUUCAAGAAAAUCUAUAAAAAUUUAGUAAGAAAGGUGAGAAUCUGUGGUUUGAGAAAGAUUCUAUCCCUCCCCACUUCCAGUUCAGCAAGGCAGAGACUCUCCACUCGAGACUGCUGCAGCCCAGAACACAGGGCUGUCUCUCCCCAGAUUCAAGCCAGAGGGCUUUUUUUCCUGGGAGAACCAUGACUUUAGCAUUGCUCACCACGUCUCCAGCUAUCUGUUGCCGAGGCUAGGUCCCAAAUGAGUAGAGUCUAGAGGUGGGAGGUCCCAUCUUCUCCCCAAGCCCCACUUGUGGAGUGGAGGCUCUACUUCAAGUGUGGCAUGCUGGAAAUACCGAGUCCCAAUAGCCCUUUCCUCAGCUAAUGAGGUGGUAAAUCCAUGCUAGCAGAGGCAAGCUAAGAAAACUUCAAGCUGUUGACCACUCCCUCUACCAAGUGCUCAGCCCCCUCCUUUGAGUGCGGGUGUCACUCGAAGAGAAACUUGCCAUUGUCCUCAUACCCAGUUUCUGGACCCUGGCUGAGAUAUUUUGCCUGUGGGGAGAAACAAGCUUUAAACAGAUUCCUCAAAGUACUCAAAGAAAAAAAAACCCGUCAACAAAGAAUCCUGUGUCCAGGAAAGCUAUCAUUCAAACAUGAAGGAAAAAUAAAGACUUUCCCAGAUAAACAAGAACUGAGAUAAUUUGUUGCUAGAAGACCUGCUUUGCAAGAGAUACUAAAGGAAGUUCUUCUGGUCAAAGCAACGACAAGAGACGGUAAUUUGAAUCCACACAAACAAAGAGGACUGCUGAAAGUGAUUAAGUGAUUAUAAACGACACUAUAAAAGCAUACGUUUUCUCAAUUCUUCCCUUGAUUGAUUUAAAAAACAACUGUUUUAAAAAGAAUGGAUUUUUUUGCUAUGCUUGUCUAAUAUUAUGUGCUUUCUACUAUUACAUAUCUAUGCAUAUGUGUAGAAGACAAUCUUAAUAACUAUUCAAAAAACAAUGUCCUACAGGGACAAUAUGGCAACUCUCUUUCUAGACCAGCACUGUGUAGUGGAAAUAUAAUACAAGUUGCGUAUGUAUGUUAACUUUUUUUAGUAGUCACAUUUGAGAGCUAAAAAAAAAAGUGUUAAUUUUAAUAAUGUAUAUUAUUUAACUUAAUCUGUCUAAAAUAUUAUGAUUUCAACAUGAAACCACAAAAUUAUUAACAAAUAUUUAUAUUCAAUUUUUUAUUUUAAAUCUUUAAAAUGUGACAUGUAUUUUACACUUAUAACACAACUCAAUUUGAUACUGAAUUUUCAUAGGAAAUCUGUAUUUAGAUUUCAUAAAAUUUAUAGUUAAAAAAGUGGAUUCAUGUUUGAAGUUGUUCAAAACAAACUUAAGUUUUUCAACAGCUGAAGUGAAUAUCAAUUUUUUUAAAAUUAAAUAAAAUUUAAAACUCAAUUGUGCAGUCACCUUGCCUUGUGUUUCAAGGUUUCCGUAGCCACAUGUGGUUAGUGGCUACUCUACUAGAUAGUUCAGUGCUGGACUCUCAAAGAACUCUCCUCAUACACUAGACCAGUUAUUUCUUUCACUUCUUCAUCAUGACAUGGCAUCUUUGUGUCUUUUACCUCCAUGAGGUAGCUGGAAAACUUACUCUGGUAACAGAGAGAGAAACAGAAUAGUAUUCACAAAUGUGUUUACCUUUGCCCUUAGCAGUGUACAUAGCAAACUCAACAUGUAGCUAAAUCUUGGUUUCUCUACUACACUGUUUUGCCUGGAGGAAUGAAAAGGUGUGCCAUUUCCUAUUGUAGAAAGUCAACACUCAUCAUCUGAGGCAUUUUUCAGUCCCCAGAUAUUUUGGCCCUGCCACUCACCAUGCGUUGGGGCCACCUCCUUCAACUCAGUAUGUUGAGGGAACGUGGGUUUAAUUCUAAUAAUAAGCUAGUCAAACCAAUAUUGAGAAGGUAACUCUGCUGCAAACAGAUAAUUCUUUAAGAAGACAAGUAUAAAUUGAGGCCAAGGGAUGAUUUAAUCUCAGCGGCCAUGCUGUGCUAGUGGCCCACAUACUAAAAAAGAGAGGAAGAUUGGCAUGCAUGUUAGCUCAGAGCAAAUCUUCCUCAGGAAAAAAAAAAAUAGAAAAUAUUGACUAAGUAGUUCUUCCAGUUAAUUUGGUCUUAAACUCCUUAGCUUCAACAUCAGAUAUUAUCUGAUUUAUCUACUUCCUCUAACAUUGUACUUUUAAAAUGUAAACCUUACCACAAAAAUAUAAUCAACGUAUUCAAUAACUAGAUCAAAAUCAUGCUAUAAAGCCUUCUUAGAGGCAUCCAGUCCUAGCCUCCUCUAGAUGUCUCAGUAUUGAUGGUUUCAGCCAAAUCUCCAAGUGGAAGGGUAAAGCUCACUCUAAGCUUGGUCUUCUUAUACCUUCUGUUGACAAAGAGCUCUUUUAGAAAUUCCAUAAAACAUUGAGAAAGGAAAAAAAUCCGUAUAGUUCAAUACCAUCACUAAUAUCAAGGGUACCUUCUGGUCCAAUUCUACCCAUUUUCAGCAUGUUGGACAGAAUUCCCAAGGAUAAUGCCUUGUGCACUUAAGCACACAACAAAUAUUUGUUGGGUUAAAUUGUGUGGAUCCUUUACAACUUCUUUCUUUUCAUGGUAUGACUUGAUCUUCUUUUUUGAGGCAAAACCCGCAGACCAAAUAGAUUAAACCAUAGGCAGGGUUAAAUUUUAAAAAGCACAAUUGUAUAAAAUAAUAUACAUAUUAUGUACUAUGGUGUCUAUAAUAUGUAAAAACAUAUGUUCAAUAUAUUUGACAAUAACAGCAUAAAGGAUAUGGGUGAGAGCAAACCUAUAAUGGGCUAAGGAAAUGACAGAUGAUAAAGUAAUAAUUAUAAGAAUGUGUUGUUGGGUUUGCAACAUUAAUAGAUGUAAUACAUAUAAUAAUAAUACCACAAAAUGAAGGAAAAAGGAAUAGAGAUUUGUAGGAGGAACA